ACGCACGCUGGCGGCGUGCUUCACACAUGCAAGUCGCACGGAAAGGCCCUGCUUGCAGGGUACUCGAGUGGCGAACGGGUGAGUAACACGUGGGUGAUCUGCCCUGCACUUCGGGAUAAGCUUGGGAAACUGGGUCUAAUACCGGAUAGGAACCAUCUUUAGUGUGGUGGUUGGAAAGUUUUUUCGGUGUAGGAUGAGCUCGCGGCCUAUCAGCUUGUUGGUGGGGUAAUGGCCUACCAAGGCGGCGACGGGUAGCCGGCCUGAGAGGGUGUACGGCCACAUUGGGACUGAGAUACGGCCCAGACGCCUACGGGAGGCAGCAGUGGGGAAUAUUGCACAAUGGGCGCAAGCCUGAUGCAGCGACGCCGCGGGGGGGAUGAAGGCCUUCGGGUUGUAAACUCCUUUCGCUAGGGACGAAGCUUUUUGUGACGGUACCUAGAUAAGAAGCACCGGCUAACUACGUG
RNAcentral lists this ribosomal RNA (464 nucleotides) under uncultured bacterium. RNAcentral's name for it is "partial 16S ribosomal RNA". It matches the Rfam family "Bacterial small subunit ribosomal RNA", at positions 29 to 507 of the family's 1533-position model. The record is from RNAcentral.